GAAAAAUCAAAACACCAUCCUACAGAACUUUGAUGCAUUCAGAACAAAGAUCACGAAUCAAGCUGAAAAAGUAAAGCAUUCUGUGAGUUGUGGAAUGGAAAUUGCCUCAACCAUCUCACCACUUGAUGACACUUGUAAUUUCAGUGACCCAAUUCAAGCAAUCAAACAUCAAGUAAUACUCUCAAUAAAGAUGUGUAAUUAAAACAGAAGAGGAAACAGACUAACAGAAGUGAUGAAGAAUGGCAGUUCUAAGGAUGGCAGGAAUUCACUGAAUGUCUAUCUAUCAUGUAUGCUGUUGGAGGCACCUGUCUUUCAGUUCAGAGGUUAUGGAUGUAUCUAUCAUCAGUAUUUCGGGAAGUCAGGGACCCGGAACAGAGGGACUUAAUGAAGCUGUGGCAGAAGAAAAAAUUAUGAAGAUUUCAUGGACAUUUAUUAGUUCCCCAAAUUAAUACUUUUAUAAUUUCUUACACCUGUCUUUACUGCACUCUCUGAACAUAAAUUGUGAAGAUUUCAUGGACAUUUAUCACUUCCCCAAUCAACACUCUUAUAAUUUCCUAU
This 558-nucleotide long non-coding RNA is filed under the name Homo sapiens (human). Its description in RNAcentral is "non-protein coding lnc-PTH2R-1:7". Lineage: Eukaryota; Metazoa; Chordata; Mammalia; Primates; Hominidae. The record is from RNAcentral.